This 1176-nucleotide long non-coding RNA is filed under the name Nicotiana benthamiana. RNAcentral describes it as "long non-coding RNA (NBEN_LNC039988)". Lineage: Eukaryota; Viridiplantae; Streptophyta; Magnoliopsida; Solanales; Solanaceae. The record is from RNAcentral.
AAGAUAUGCAGGGCUAUACAAUAUGGUUCAAAAUUCCUGAGUAAUGGAGAGCCUGGCACUGCACAAAAUGUUGACAAAUCAACUAGCUUAGCAAGGAAAGUGUUCCGUCUUUUCAAGGUUAGGACAAUUCAUGUUAACCCGUUAAUUUCUAUUGUUUUAAAGAGUGGUACUAAUAAUAACAAUAGCAUUUAUGUUCAACAUUAUCAAUUAUAUCUUAACCGUUUCUGCUGCAGUUUAUGAAUGAUCUGCAUGGUCUUAUUAGCCCAACUGCCCCAGGAACCCCACUUCCUCUCAUCUUGUUGGGAAAGGUAAACAAUGACUCUCUCUUCUUGUGGUCUCUUCAUUAUUCUUGUAUUACCUGUCUAACAACGCUGCUGGUUAUUUCAGUCAAAAAAUGCAUUGCUGUCAACUUUCUUGUUUCUGGAUCAAAUUGUGUGGCUUGGAAGGACAGGCAUUUACAAGGUAAUAUAUUUUUUUUUUUUGUAUUGAGUAGUCGUUCAGUUUCUCUAGAGAUAAGAUAGUGAAGAGAAAAUGUGCUCACAUUCUUAUUUUGUUUUACACAGAACAAAGAACGCCAUGAGUUAAUUGGCAGGAUCUCUCUCUUUUGUUGGAUGGGUUCCUCGAUAUGCACUACCUUAGUGGAGAUUGGGGAGCUCGGAAGGCUUUCAGCAUCAAUGAAAAAACUGGAGAAGGAACUUAAGAAUACCGACAAAUAUAAGAAUGAGCAAUACCGGAGUAAGCUUCAGAAGUCCAAUGACUUAAUCAUUGCUUCUAGUGUUGGCUUUUAUGCCAAUAGCCUGUCUUACACUUCUGUUACCCCAGAUUGGGGAGCUCGGAAGGCUUUCAGCAUCAAUGAAAAAGCUGGAGAAGGAACUUAAGAAUACCGACAAAUAUAAGGUUUGCCAAUUCCAGGCAUCAUGCAUUAUGGUUAUUUGGUGGCACGGUGGAAUUUCCAUUUGAAGAUUAUUCUACAUUCUGAUGUUUGUGAAUUUUGCAUUGUAGAAUGAGCAAUACCAGAGUAAGCUUCAGAAGUCCAAUGAGAGGUCUCUAGCACUGAUUAAAGCAGGCAUGGAUAUAGUAGUUGCUGUUGGGUUGCUGCAAUUGGCACCUAAGAAAGUCACUCCUCGUGUAACAGGAGCCUUUGGAUUUAUUACCUCGUUGAUAUCAUGUUAUCAG